This 1148-nucleotide long non-coding RNA is filed under the name Equus caballus (horse). Its description in RNAcentral is "lncRNA (ENSECAG00000056551.1)". The record is from RNAcentral. Lineage: Eukaryota; Metazoa; Chordata; Mammalia; Perissodactyla; Equidae.
ACCAAUCCCAUCCGACCUGGACGACGACGAGCCCCCUGGCUCCGCCCCCGCUGACCCCAGCUGCGGGCAUUUGCCCCGGAUCUCCAGCAGUCCCUGCCCUCCUCCAACCGCCUCAGGCCACGGGAACGCUUCCUCCAGAACUGAGUGCCCAGCUUUGGGACAGACACUGCUCGCGCAGGAGAGAGAGGGGAUCCGUGAGCCGCCAGCUCCGAUUUCCAGGUCGUAGCACCGGGACGAGGGUUUGCUUGGACAAAGGUGGCAGGAGCACCUUCCCGAUGGAUGGUUCCCGGCGCCCGAGGAGACCGCGGGAGUCCCGGACAGAAUCGAAGGGCCGCAGAGCUGGAGACACCUGCUCCGAUUUCCAGGUCGUAGCACCGGGACGAGGGUUUGCUUGGACAAAGGUGGCAGGAGCACCUUCCCGAUGGAUGGUUCCCGGCGCCCGAGGAGACCGCGGGAGUCCCGGACAGAAUCGAAGGGCCGCAGAGCUGGAGACACCUGGUACGUUGGGGCGUGUGUGACGGAGGACGAGGCGGGCUCCUCUGCGUGCGUAGGGGGGGUGGAUGGGUGUGUGUCCGUGUGUGUGUGUGUCCGUGUGUGUGUGUGUGUGUGUGUGUGUGUGUGUGCGUGCGCGUGUUUCAGUGGAUGGCACCAGGGCAGAGGAGAAGGGAGAAGCCGGGCCUCCCAGGAGGCUGGGCAUUUGGAAGCUGAGGAAAGGGAGAAUCGCUAGGCCCAGAGGAAUCCCUUCGGGGUGGGGAGGUCGGGAGGAGCCCUCGGGAGACGCGUCUCGGGUUUGCUCCCUCCUUGCUCUCUUCCUGUGCUCCGGCCUUACAAUUCCCCCUGCCGACACACUCUCUGUGGGGUCCUCUCCCUCCUCUGCGGGAAGGGAGAGGGGAGCAGAGGAUCUGAGGGUUCCACCACCGUCUCACCCAGACGGGGGAGGGUUCCCUCCGUGUCCACUGUUUUUCUUCUGGCCCUCGGCACCGCGCGUGGAAUCCGGGGGCAGACAGGACUGUCCCCUGUGGAGCGCGGGCACCUCUUUCUGCAAAGUGCUCAGGCCCGAGGAGAUGUCUCUCCUUCUCCUGCGGAGGAGCCCCGUCCAGAGGGCACUCUUUCCCGUGGGCACCGUCCCUGGUUCCCUCCCUAUCGGC